Molecule: non-coding RNA, 73 nt
Organism: Cordylochernes scorpioides
Lineage: Eukaryota; Metazoa; Arthropoda; Arachnida; Pseudoscorpiones; Chernetidae
Source: the annotation of a GenBank genome assembly
UCCAGGGUAGCCUAGUGGACAUGGCAUCUGCCCGGUAAGCAGAAGGUUGUGGGUUCGAUUCCCGCCCCUGGAC